UCCAAAGGCUGCAGCAGCUUGCCUGAUUCUGUGAUUGACUUCUGCAUCAAUGUUAGCAUUUGAAGACAUUAUACUACCAAGGCGCUCUCUUGCCGCUGCGGGCGUGCCUCCUCGCGCCUGGAGACAAUCUGCAAUCAGCACACCUGCCCGUGAUGAGCGAGCUGCCUUCAUAAGCCGGCACAACCUGCCAUCCCGCGCCUGAAUAUAACCUUCUGUUCGCGUACAUACCCUCCGUCGCCUUGAAAGUGAGCUGUGCGUCUCACUUUUCCCUGGAUCUCCCUCUGGACUCUGACUGCCUCCCUCGAUCCUUGACUUCCCCCGCUUUGGACUUGUACCUGUAGACUUCUCUCUCCCCUGGACUUCCUCGUCUCUCGUUCAACAUUUACGGGGAAUCUGGCCAAAAAUGUGCAGGUAGGGCCGAUACAAGGCUCUGCGGAACACCCAGUCUAUCCGGGGGUCAUUUGGGUGGAGAAGAGCCUGAGUGGCCACCCCAUACGCAAUAAGCCACACACUCAGGAAGAAGAGGAAGAAGAAGACAUCCUUCAUCUGGAGAGGAAACCAUUGCAGUUUUAUUUUAGGAGCCAAAACAUUAGUCACCAUUCUCUCCACAAUGAUUAUCUUCGGCCCCAGUUGUUUAUGGAUGGCAAAGAUGUGAAUCAGCCGCAGUGUGAACACCAUGAAGUCUAUCGCCAGAACCGUCCUGCCCGCCUCGUAGGUUCCAUCAAUCAUCCUGCACAUCCAGACAGAAACUCCGACGACAAAGAGUGAGAUAGCGACCAUGUCACACUUGUUCCAGUUGUCCUCCACAUAGAGCUUGAACUUCUUCAAGAUGUUCAUCUCUUCAUCUGAAAAGAAGCUCUGCGAUAUGACAGAUAUUUGUUUAUUGGUAUUAUACAUGAACUGGGUCACAUAUA
This is a long non-coding RNA of Entelurus aequoreus (snake pipefish), 914 nucleotides long. RefSeq lists it as uncharacterized. The record is from RefSeq and is a predicted model, not a curated record. Lineage: Eukaryota; Metazoa; Chordata; Actinopteri; Syngnathiformes; Syngnathidae. The transcript has 6 exons.